UACGUAGGGGGCAAGCGUUGUCCGGAAUCAUUGGGCGUAAAGAGCGUGUAGGCGGUCCUGUAAGUCCGCUGUGAAAGUCAAGGGCUCAACCCUUGAAUGCCGGUGGAUACUGCAGGACUAGAGUCCGGAAGAGGCGAGUGGAAUUCCUGGUGUAGCGGUGAAAUGCGUAGAUAUCGAGAGGAACACCUGCGGCGAAGGCGGGUUGCUGGGCCGACACUGACGCUGAUGCGCGAAAGCCAGGGGAGCGAACGGG
RNAcentral lists this ribosomal RNA (253 nucleotides) under uncultured bacterium. RNAcentral's name for it is "partial 16S ribosomal RNA". It matches the Rfam family "Bacterial small subunit ribosomal RNA", at positions 524 to 776 of the family's 1533-position model. The record is from RNAcentral.